This 254-nucleotide ribosomal RNA is filed under the name uncultured bacterium. Its description in RNAcentral is "partial 16S ribosomal RNA". It matches the Rfam family "Bacterial small subunit ribosomal RNA", at positions 524 to 776 of the family's 1533-position model. The record is from RNAcentral.
UACGUAGGUGGCGAGCGUUAUCCGGAUUUAUUGGGUUUAAAGGGAGCGUAGGCGGCUGAUUAAGUCAGCGGUGAAAGGUAGCAGCUUAACUGUUUUACAUGCCGUUGAUACUGGUUAGCUUGAGUUGACAGAAGGCAGAUAGAAUUCCUGGUGUAGCGGUGAAAUGCUUAGAUACCAGGAGGAAUACCGAUUGCGAAGGCAGUCUGCUGCAGUCACACUGACGCUGAGGCCCGAAGGUGCGGGGAUCAAACAGG